RNAcentral lists this ribosomal RNA (470 nucleotides) under uncultured bacterium. RNAcentral's name for it is "bacterial SSU rRNA". It matches the Rfam family "Bacterial small subunit ribosomal RNA", at positions 29 to 506 of the family's 1533-position model. The record is from RNAcentral.
ACGAACGUUGGCGGCGUGGAUUAGGCAUGCAAGUCGAACGAAUGUCAGUUUUGUAGCAAUACAGAGCUGGCGGAAGUGGCGAAAGGGGCAGUAAUGCAUGGGUAACCUACCUUGGGGAUGGGCAUAGCCGUUCUAACGAGCGGGUAAUUCCCAGAGAUUCAGCGGGAGGGCAUCCUUCUGCUGGGAAAUGAAUUUCGCCUCGAGAGGGGCCCAUGUGCUAUUAGCUAGUUGGUAGGGUAACGGCCUACCAAGGCUAAGAUGGCUAGCGGGUGUGAGAGCACGACCCGCGCCACUGGCACUGAGACACUGGCCAGACACCUACGGGUGGCUGCAGUCGAGGAUCUUCGUCAAUGGGCGCAAGCCUGAACGAGCGACGCCGCGUGCGCGAUGAAGGCCUUCGGGUUGUAAAGCGCGAAAGUGGAGAGAAAGGGCAACUUGAUCAAUCCACAGUAAGGACGGGCUAAGUUCGU